AGGGCACCACCAGGAGUGGAGCCUGCGGCUUAAUUUGACUCAACACGGGGAAACUCACCCGGCCCGGACACUGGAAGGAUUGACAGAUUGAGAGCUCUUUCUUGAUUCAGUGGGUGGUGGUGCAUGGCCGUUCUCAGUUGGUGGAGUGAUUUGUCUGGUUAAUUCCGAUAACGAACGAGACUCUAGCCUACUAAAUAGACCUCGGCAUUCUUUGUACUGUCGAGGCGCUUCUUAGAGGGACAGGCGGCGUUUCAGCCGCAUGAGAAAGAGCAAUAACAGGUCUAUGAUGCCCUUAGAUGUCCGGGGCCACACGCGCGCUACACUGAAGAGAUCAGCGUGCAUGUGCUUCCUACUCCGAAAGGAGCGGGAAACCGAGUGAACCUUUUUCGUGCUUGGGAUUGGGGAUUGUAAUUAUUCUCCAUGAACGAGGAAUUCCCAGUAAGCACAAGUCAUCAGCUUGUGUUGAUUACGUCCCUGCCCUUUGUACACACCGCCCGUCGCUACUACCGAUUGGAUGUU
This 519-nucleotide ribosomal RNA is filed under the name uncultured eukaryote. Its description in RNAcentral is "SSU rRNA". It matches the Rfam family "Eukaryotic small subunit ribosomal RNA", at positions 1161 to 1697 of the family's 1831-position model. The record is from RNAcentral.